This 77-nucleotide transfer RNA is filed under the name Streptomyces smaragdinus. RNAcentral describes it as "Streptomyces sp. RB5 tRNA-Ser". The record is from RNAcentral. Lineage: Bacteria; Bacillati; Actinomycetota; Actinomycetes; Kitasatosporales; Streptomycetaceae.
GGCCGGCGACCCGCAGGCCGCGUGGGCGUCCCUGGAGCGGGCGCUACGGGUCCUCGAUCCGCCCGAGGCGCCGGCCG